CCUACGGGUGGCAGCAGUGGGGAAUAUUGCGCAAUGGGGGGAACCCUGACGCAGCCAUGCCGCGUGAAUGAAGAAGGCCUUCGGGUUGUAAAGUUCUUUCGGUAUUGAGGAAGGAGUGUAUGUUAAUAGCAUGCAUUAUUGACGUUAAAUACAGAAGAAGCACCGACUAACUCCGUGCCAGCAGCCGCGGUAAUACGGAGGGUGCGAGCGUUAAUCGGAAUAACUGGGCGUAAAGGGCACGCAGGCGGUUAUUUAAGUGAGGUGUGAAAGCCCCGUGCUUAACCUGGGAAUUGCAUUUCAGACUGGGUAACUAGAGUACUUUAGGGAGGGGUAGAAUUCCACGUGUAGCGGUGAAAUGCGUAGAGAUGUGGAGGAAGACCGAAGGCGAAGGCAGCCCCUUGGGAAUGUACUGACGCUCAUGUGCGAAAGCGUGGGGAGCAAACAGGAUUAGAUACCCCGGUAGUC
This 465-nucleotide ribosomal RNA is filed under the name uncultured Haemophilus sp. RNAcentral's name for it is "bacterial SSU rRNA". It matches the Rfam family "Bacterial small subunit ribosomal RNA", at positions 338 to 795 of the family's 1533-position model. Lineage: Bacteria; Pseudomonadati; Pseudomonadota; Gammaproteobacteria; Pasteurellales; Pasteurellaceae. The record is from RNAcentral.